This 448-nucleotide long non-coding RNA is filed under the name Capsicum annuum. RNAcentral describes it as "long non-coding RNA (CANN_LNC010262)". The record is from RNAcentral. Lineage: Eukaryota; Viridiplantae; Streptophyta; Magnoliopsida; Solanales; Solanaceae.
AACUCGCACCUGUGUCCAAAGUUUGACUCUUGAGUCAGAAUGAUAAGGCAUUUCGCAAGCUUGAAUCCCUAGAAAGCAGAACUGCAGUUCGUAAGUUUGCUCUUACUUCUUUAUUCAAUUCUUUUCCCACUUCAUUGCCUUCUAUUCCUCUUUUAUUCUUUCUAAUGUAAUAUCAUAAGCAUCCAAUGCAGCUUCUUCUGCGAACUCUUCUGCUGCAGCAGAUUCAUUCUGAUCCUUUAGAUCCGCUCUCUCUUUCUCUGGCUCCCUUACUUGAAAGCUUUUAGUCGAUCUACUCAGUCAAAGAGUUUUUUCAACUCCGAUCCUUUCAGCCCUAGUUUCGCUCUAAGCCAAGGCCUUUAGUCGAUCUGGUUCUUAGUAUCCUUCCUCUUUAGUCUAGCUGACAGCUUUUCCCCUUGACUCGCCUGCUUUGGGAAGUCAAUAUUCUAUA